Molecule: long non-coding RNA, 811 nt
Filed under: Gossypium barbadense (sea-island cotton)
Lineage: Eukaryota; Viridiplantae; Streptophyta; Magnoliopsida; Malvales; Malvaceae
Description: long non-coding RNA (GBAR_LNC006281)
Source: RNAcentral
UCAAAUUUAAAAUUUAUUCAUGGUCCAAAUAUCCGAAAAAAAAUCCACAUCCUCUUCUUUCACAAAAGAUAAAAAAAAUUGAACAAAAAUGAGAACAUCAAUACAUAAGCAAAAUAGAAGACAAACAGCGGUAAACGCUAAUCAACAAGUAGUUGGAAAAUGGCAACGACAAACAACUGAGUUCUUGGCUGUGCCGUAAGAUAGAGGUUUGAUCAAGUCAACUAAUUAAAAAAAGCAAACUACAAGUAUAACGGUAGAAUUCUUGCAAACCUACUACUAGUUGGAAACAGCAACCUCGGAACAAAAAUGGAGACCCACCACUUUAACCGCAUUAACAUUGAUAGAAGACCCUCCACUUGAUGUUAGUCUGCAAAAUUCAAGUAAUAUAUAAAAGGUAUGCACUCACACUCGCCAUGACUGAACAUGGAUUUGACUCCUCUCCCAUAUACAGACUGGCCUCCAAUCGAUUGUGUUCUGUAGUUAGGCUGAAGACGUUUCAACCAAUGGUUUGUGGUUGAGUUGGAGAGAAGAUUGACAGAGUUCUGAAGUUAGUUGAAACUCACCAGAGUUUCAAGUAAAUUUUCUAAUCAACACUUGUGUAAAUGGACAUAUAGUAAGUAAAUACCUACUAAAUAUUACAAAUUUAGUGGAAAGAAAAAGGUUUUAUAUAGAAAGAAAAGAUAGUGGAUAAAAGUAGGGAGGAUGGUGGAUAAGAAAGGUUUUCUAAAUUUCUUCGAUGCCCCCUUAGGCUUCUUUCAUCUCUUUUUUAUAGGAGAAUUCUUGAACUCUUUUUAUUUUCUUUGAAUCCCAC